This 459-nucleotide unclassified non-coding RNA is filed under the name Musa acuminata subsp. malaccensis (wild Malaysian banana). Its description in RNAcentral is "partial external transcribed spacer". Lineage: Eukaryota; Viridiplantae; Streptophyta; Magnoliopsida; Zingiberales; Musaceae. The record is from RNAcentral. RNAcentral also lists the same sequence under 1 other name.
GCAUGUGAGCGGUGAUAGAUUUGUAUGCCGCGGUGGGCUCCCUGCUAUUGUGCAGUUGACCACCGACGUUGCAAGUCUCUUCAAUGACACUCUGUUUGAACGGAGAUGCGUGUGUUGCCUGUACAAUCUAUCUAGUUCCUUUGGAAAUAGACAUUGUUUACCUCGCUUAUCCACUUCUCAUGUCCUAUAUGAAUGAGAAGUGUCGAUGUCCGUGCACCUUGUGUGUCCUCGAACGAUGGCAUAUCUCAGACCUCUCGUCUCGAGUGGCUCCAGUGUUCACGUGAGUGCUCUUGGAUGCAGUGGAUAAGAAUGUACCAUGGGUCUUUGGACUCUUGGCACAUGAUUGGUUGGCUUUCUUAGUCGCCCUUCGACGGAUGACGGCCUUCCCAUCGUUGCCCCCCUUUCCCUUGUGGUAAUGGGUCGGCAUGUUGGGCUUGGCGUCGUAGAGGACGUGCUACC